Non-coding RNA from Periconia macrospinosa, 94 nucleotides. NCBI's taxonomy places the organism in Eukaryota, Fungi, Ascomycota, Dothideomycetes, Pleosporales, Periconiaceae. The record is from the annotation of a GenBank genome assembly.
GGUCUUGUGGUCUAGUGGUAUGAUUCUCGCUUAGGGCGCCCAGUUCCUGAGUAAAAUUUGCGAGAGGCCCCGCGUUCGAGUCGCGGCAAGACCC